This 71-nucleotide transfer RNA is filed under the name Amycolatopsis sp. DSM 110486. RNAcentral's name for it is "tRNA-OTHER". It matches the Rfam family "tRNA". Rfam says of the family: Transfer RNA (tRNA) molecules are approximately 80 nucleotides in length. Lineage: Bacteria; Bacillati; Actinomycetota; Actinomycetes; Pseudonocardiales; Pseudonocardiaceae. RNAcentral also lists the same sequence under 1 other name. The record is from RNAcentral.
GGCGCGUUGGUCCAGCGGAACGGACACCGGCCCUCACGCCGAAGACGCGGGUUCGACUCCCGCACGCGCUA